GGCGUCGGUGCGGCAGGCGUGGCCGUCGCCGCUGGCGGUGCCGAUGGCGCCGAUGCCGCGGGCUUGGCGGUCGCCGCCCCCGACGCAC
This 88-nucleotide transfer RNA is filed under the name Caballeronia pedi. RNAcentral's name for it is "Burkholderia pedi tRNA-Ala". The record is from RNAcentral. Lineage: Bacteria; Pseudomonadati; Pseudomonadota; Betaproteobacteria; Burkholderiales; Burkholderiaceae.